Pelobates cultripes (western spadefoot toad) is the source of this 208-nucleotide non-coding RNA. The record is from the annotation of a GenBank genome assembly. NCBI's taxonomy places the organism in Eukaryota, Metazoa, Chordata, Amphibia, Anura, Pelobatidae.
GUGAGAUUUUAGUGCGUUUGUGUCUGUGUCUCUGUAUAUUAAUGUGUAUCUAUAUCAGUGUAUGUGUGUACAUCUGAAUAUGAAUGUGUUUAUAUAUGAAGACUAGUAUGUGCAUGUCAUUUUUUUUCUUUCUAAUUUUUCAUUUAUAGUUUUUGAGUAUUUUAGGUAAGACAAUGAAAGUGUGAGCAUGCAAUUUUACUAAUAAAAG